This 1095-nucleotide long non-coding RNA is filed under the name Capra hircus (goat). Its description in RNAcentral is "lncRNA (ENSCHIG00010028482.1)". The record is from RNAcentral. Lineage: Eukaryota; Metazoa; Chordata; Mammalia; Artiodactyla; Bovidae.
AGCCAGCAUCUUCAGUGUCUGGACAAAUGUUAGAUUCGCCAGCAAGUGAGAAAUAAAUCGAAGGUCCUUUCCCGGAAGGUAUAAAAGUUCUCUGCUUUCUCCCAAAGACAUUUCUACCUUUGGUUUCGUACCUGUUGCAAGAAAAAUCAGCUCCGACCUCCUCUCUGAAAAGGCGAGGGGGAGGGGAAGCCUUAUUAUUUUCAAGCCUGCACUCUUCACCUGCAACUACCUUUUAAAAGUAAGGCAGGUGGGCUUGGGUAACAUGUACUCGUGGAGUCAGGUACACAGACUGACAGCCUUCCCUGGACAAUCAUUUCGUAUCUGGUGUGAAAGUGACACCAUCCGGGAACCUGGCAGAGCAGGGGUGGCAACUGAAACCAGUUGCUUUCAUAGCGACAUCAACCUUCUAACACACAGGAUCCACGGGCCUCCUCUUUAUGUCCGCAAGUUGACACUUUAGCAACCGGGCAGAUGUUUCACAGGGAGACGUGGCGAUGUUGCAGGGAAAGCAAAAAACAUUCCCCCUACCAGCCAAAUGCACAUUAAGAACCAAGGCCCUGAGCCAAAGAGCCUUUUAGGAAGAGGGCCUGAAAUGGUGGCAGAGGCUUGCAUUGUUUCUUGAGCAGUUAAGAAAAACUGUUUAAAAAAAAGAAAAAAAUGACAGGAAAAGUUGCUGAGGAGGAGGGAAAAAGAGGGCAUACAUGUGUUCCUCAGGAAAAGUUGUCCAAAACAGGCUGCUGAGAAAUCGUUCAGUGUGGAAAGCAAGUAAGUUGAGGACUACACAUCUGUACUUUUUAUAGGCUUACAGGAGUUUAAACUCUUUUGUAAAGAGCUUUUUAUGUACUGAAUCAAGGCCCCCAUAUUUGAACAGGGAUCUAUAUGACUGGGGUUGGGUGGGGGUGGGGGGAUAGGCUGAGGCCUGAAAUCAAGGAUCAAAUUAAGCAACCCCAGUCUUUUCUUCACUCAGCUCAUCUGACUCUGGCCUUUCCACUAGGGAGACUCAAAGAAGACAGAGAGCCUCCUGGAACUGUAACACAGAAACUCAGAGCCUACAGCAGAGGUGUGCAUGGGCAACUGUUCUCAUUCAAAAUCUAG